UUACGCCCCAUUGCAUCAGGUGUCCCACGAACAUUCGUUCACGGGAUGAAACGGGAAGUCGGUUAAAAUCCGACGCUGCCCCCGCAACGGUAAAUGAGUCAAACGACAACCCCCUGUCACUGCGGAUUCGCGGGAAGACGUUGUCGCCGGUUACGCCACUCAUGAGCCCGGAGACCGGCCUGACGCCUGCUGAUCGC
This 197-nucleotide non-coding RNA is filed under the name Hahella chejuensis. The record is from RNAcentral. Lineage: Bacteria; Pseudomonadati; Pseudomonadota; Gammaproteobacteria; Oceanospirillales; Hahellaceae. RNAcentral also lists the same sequence under 1 other name.